This 28-nucleotide non-coding RNA is filed under the name Mus musculus (house mouse). The record is from RNAcentral. Lineage: Eukaryota; Metazoa; Chordata; Mammalia; Rodentia; Muridae.
AGGNGCCUGGAUUUCAUGAACAAGCCUU